AUAGUGAAUUCGGUGUUGGUC
RNAcentral lists this non-coding RNA (21 nucleotides) under Arabidopsis thaliana (thale cress). The record is from RNAcentral. Lineage: Eukaryota; Viridiplantae; Streptophyta; Magnoliopsida; Brassicales; Brassicaceae.